Manis javanica (Malayan pangolin) is the source of this 74-nucleotide non-coding RNA. Lineage: Eukaryota; Metazoa; Chordata; Mammalia; Pholidota; Manidae. The record is from the annotation of a RefSeq genome assembly.
GCUAGGGUAGCAAAGCACGGCAACUGCACAAGACUUAAGCUCUUGUAACAGAGGUUCAACUCCCCUCCCUAGCA